AGCGAACGCUGGCGGCAGGCCUAACACAUGCAAGUCGAACGAACUCUUCGGAGUUAGUGGCGGACGGGUGAGUAACACGUGGGAACGUGCCUUUAGGUUCGGAAUAACUCAGGGAAACUUGUGCUAACACCGAAUGUGCCCUUCGGGGGAAAGAUUUAUCGCCUUUAGAGCGGCCCGCGUCUGAUUAGCUAGUUGGUGAGGUAAAGGCUCACCAAGGCGACGAUCAGUAGCUGGUCUGAGAGGAUGAUCAGCCACAUUGGGACUGAGACACGGCCCAAACUCCUACGGGAGGCAGCAGUGGGGAAUCUUGCGCAAUGGGCGAAAGCCUGACGCAGCCAUGCCGCGUGAAUGAUGAAGGUCUUAGGAUUGUAAAAUUCUUUCACCGGGGACGAUAAUGACGGUACCCGGAGAAGAAGCCCCGGCUAACUUCGUGC
Molecule: ribosomal RNA, 434 nt
Filed under: uncultured bacterium
Lineage: Bacteria
Description: bacterial SSU rRNA
Rfam family: Bacterial small subunit ribosomal RNA
Source: RNAcentral